This 348-nucleotide RNase P RNA is filed under the name Caldifarciminota bacterium. RNAcentral describes it as "candidate division WOR-3 bacterium (hot springs metagenome) RNase P RNA component class A". It matches the Rfam family "Bacterial RNase P class A". From Rfam's summary of the family: Ribonuclease P (RNase P) is a ubiquitous endoribonuclease, found in archaea, bacteria and eukarya as well as chloroplasts and mitochondria. The record is from RNAcentral. Lineage: Bacteria; Pseudomonadati; Caldifarciminota.
GAGGGAGGUCGGGAAGUCGCGUCCCCGUAUUGGGGAUGAGGAAAGUCCGAGCUCCAAAGGGCAGGGUGCCACCUAACUGGUGGGCGCGGUAACGCGACGGAUAGGGCCACAGAAACCAAACAGCCGAUGGCCCGAAAGGGCUCAGGCUAAGGUGAAACCGUGGGGUAAGAGCCCACGAUGGUGUCACGCAAGUGGCACCAUGGCAACCCCCACCCGGAGCAAGGUCAAGCAGGGGCGAUGGAGUGGCCCGCUCCAAGCCCCGGGUAGACCGCUGAAAUCCACCGGUGACGGUGGAUUAAGAGAAAUGACUUCCCUCGACAGAACUCGGCUUACAGACCUCCCUCACCC